CCCUUAGAUGUUCUGGGCUGCACGCGCGCUACACUGAAGCGUUCAACGAGUAUUUCACCUUGCCCGGGAGGGUUGGGUAAUCUUUUUAAAACGCUUCGUGAUGGGGAUAGAUUAUUGCAAUUAUUAAUCUUCAACGAGGAAUUCCUAGUAAGCGCGAGUCAUCAGCUCGUGCUGAUUACGUCCCUGCCCUUUGUACACACCGCCCGUCGCUCCUACCGAUUGAAUGGUCCGGUGAAGCGUUCGGACCGUGGCCUUUGGACGGUUCGCCGUCUGUUGGCUGCGGGAAGUUCGUUAAACCUUAUCAUUUAGAGGAAGGAGAAGUCGUAACA
Molecule: ribosomal RNA, 329 nt
Filed under: uncultured eukaryote
Lineage: Eukaryota
Description: partial 18S ribosomal RNA
Rfam family: Eukaryotic small subunit ribosomal RNA
Source: RNAcentral